This 128-nucleotide unclassified non-coding RNA is filed under the name Parafrankia sp. Ea1.12. RNAcentral's name for it is "Frankia sp. Ea1.12 ydaO-yuaA". It matches the Rfam family "c-di-AMP riboswitch aptamer (ydaO/yuaA leader)", at positions 17 to 115 of the family's 134-position model. From Rfam's summary of the family: This family represents a conserved RNA structure found upstream of the ydaO and yuaA genes in Bacillus subtilis and related genes in other bacteria. The ydaO/yuaA element is thought to act as a genetic "off" switch for the ydaO and yuaA genes in its native state. The record is from RNAcentral. Lineage: Bacteria; Bacillati; Actinomycetota; Actinomycetes; Frankiales; Frankiaceae.
AUCUGGGGCAGGAGCGGGGGAACCACGUUCCUCCGGGCGUCGCCUCCUUCGAUGCCCUUGGGGUGAAGCCGAAUACGCACGGGGCGUUCGGCCGGGCUCCCAGCCCGAACCCGACAGCUCACCUCGCA